GAGAGGCGGUGCGUGCGCGGGGCAUGCCGGGACUGGUGGUGCGCUGUGGACAGCUGCAGGUGAACCGCUGCACUGUGUCCCGCGGAGGCGCGACUGCUCGGUGAUUCCUGGGGUUCUAGACACCGUCUGUCCGGGUGAGAGCCAGCUUUUCUGGAAGAGGAUUUCAAGAGCGGUUGAAAUGAGCAGUCGUAAAGCAAAGAGUAACAACUUAAUAGAUGCCGAGUGCCUUUCACAGGUACAAAGAAUUUUACGUGAAAGAUUUUGUCAUCAGAGCCCACAUGGGAGCCUAUUUGGAGUUCAAGUACAAUAUAAACAUGUAGUUGAGCUUCUUAAAAGAACUGCUAUCCAUGGAGAAAGUAACUCUGUCCUCAUUAUUGGACCUCGAGGAUCUGGAAAGACCAUGUUAAUAAACCACGCUUUGAAGGAAGUAAUGGAAGUUGAAGAAGUGAGUGAAAAUAUAUUGCAAGUUCACCUCAAUGGACUGCUGCAGAUUAAUGAUAAGAUUGCUCUAAAGGAAAUCACAAGGCAAUUAAACCUGGAAAAUGUGGUGGAAGACAAAGUCUUUGGAAGCUUUGCUGAAAACCUUUCAUUUCUUCUGGAAGCUUUAAAAAAAGGUGACCGGACUAGUAGUUGUCCAGUGAUUUUCGUUUUAGAUGAAUUUGAUCUUUUUGCUCAUCAUAAAAACCAAACACUCCUUUAUAAUCUAUUUGACAUUUCUCAGUCUGCACAGACUCCAGUAGCAGUUAUUGGUCUUACUUGCAGAUUGGAUAUUUUAGAACUGUUAGAGAAAAGGGUGAAGUCACGAUUUUCUCACCGACAGAUACACUUGAUGAAUUCAUUUGGCUUUCCACAAUAUAUUAAAAUAUUUAAGGAACAGUUAUCUCUACCUGCAGAAUUUUCAAACAAGAUUUUUGCUGAGAAGUGGAAUCAUCAAGUUCAGUGCCUCUCAGAAGAUGGAAGUGUGCGAGAAGUACUGCAGAAACAUUUUAAUGCCAGCAAAAGCCUGCGGUCAUUGCAUAUGCUAUUGAUGCUGGCUUUAAAUCGUGUAACAUCAUCACACCCGUUUAUAACUGCAGCAGAUCUGAUGGAGGCAAACCAACUGUGUAGCAUGGACUCGAAAGCAAACAUUGUACAUGGUCUGUCAGUCUUGGAAAUUUGUCUUAUAAUAGCAAUGAAACACUUAAAUGACGUCUAUGAAGAGGAGCCUUUUAAUUUUCAGAUGGUUUAUAAUGAGUUUCAGAAGUUUGUUCAGAGGAAAGCACAUUCUGUUUAUAAUUUUGAGAAACCUGUUGUCAUGAAGGCUUUUGAACAUUUACAACAAUUAGAAUUAAUAAGGCCCUUGGAAAGAACUUCAGUAAAUGCACAGAGAGAGUACCAGCUGAUGAAGCUUCUUUUGGAUAAUACUCAGAUUAUGAAUGCUUUGCAGAAAUACCCCAACUGCCCUACAGAUGUAAGGCAGUGGGCAACAUCCUCACUGAGCUGGUUAUAAGUGUAACCAGUGGCUUCAGUUAGGGAAUCUCAGACUUACUUUCCCAAAGAACUUGAAAGCUGUUGUACUUAAAAAGACUUGUUGCUACAUUUUCUUAUAUUUAUAUGUGUUAUUUUUUUAUUUGUGGGGGACUCUUAUACAUAGUAUCUAAACUGUCUUGCAAUUUGAAUAAUAACCAGUUAUAUGAUUCUCAAUUCCAGUGAUUAAGAUUAUGUUGUAAGAAGCAGUACCAAAAUAGAAGUAACUGUUUUAGAGAUGGCCCAUGUAUUUUGAAAUUCUUUUUUUUAUAUAAUUUUUUUUAAUAUUUAUUUACUCUCUUUUGUUGCCCUUGUUUUAUUGUCGUAGAUAUUAUUGUUGUUAGUAAUUGUCGUAGAUAUUAUUGUUGUUAGUAAUCAUCAUUGUUGGAUAGGACAGAGAGAAAUGGAGAGAGAAGGGGAAGACAGGGGGAGAGAAAGACAGACACCUGCAGACCUGCUUCACCUGUGAAGCGACUCCCCUGCAGGUGGGGAGCCAGGGGUUCGAACUGGGAUCCUUAAGCCGGUCCUUGUGCUUUAACCCGCUGCGCUACCACCUGACUCCCGUGUUUUGAAAUUCUUAUGUAGUGCUUUAAAAAAAAAAAACAAAACCAUCCCAACCCAGAUGUUUUUAUAAAUUGUAGUAAAGAACCAGAAGGGGGCCGAGUGAUUGAGCACCUGGUUAAGUGCAUGUUACAGUUCACAAGGACUCAGGUACAAGCCCUUAGUCCCCACCUACAGGGAGAAGUCUUUGCAAAUGGUGAAGCAGGUCUACAGGUGUCUCUCUCCCCAUCUCCCUCUGCCCUCUUGAUUUCUGGCUGGCUGUCUCUAUCCAGCAAAUAAAGAUGAGAGAAAGACAAAGAAGAGCUGAUGUGAUGAAUUAUCUUCUUGUGCUGCAUUUUCCUUUUUGUACCCAUAAAUUUUAGAUUCCAUUCCGGGCCAAGUCUUCAACUUCAGAAGACUGACCAAUGUGUCCAGAAGAGAGUUCACAUGAUGAAAAAAAACCAAAGAACAUUACCAUGAAAGAUAGUGCAAGUUCAUGGCACCAACAAUUGUGAAGCACAGUCUCUGUUCUGGAGUUCCCAACGUACCUGUAAUAAACAUUUGAACAAGAAUCACACAUCACAUGCUAAAAACUUCCUAGCAUCUAAAAUACAUCACAAGAACUGUGCAGGGCAAAAACUUUGAAUAAAGCCAAACACUGGUUAACCCAUCAGUCCUAUGGCAGUUAAUCAUCAAACGUUUCUUAAGUAGAGAUCUUGACAAGGUAAAGAAAAUGACAGAGCAGCAGUUCUGAUGGAUAUCAGAAAGGCAAAAUACAGACGAGUCAUCAUAAGCACCAUACACAUGAGGAAAAAAAUUAUUGGGGUCUCAGUUUGCCCCAAAAGAAGUCAUCAUUUUACUCCAACAACUUUGAUCUUUUUUUUUUCUCCCAGUAUCCCUAGCUCUCAAACUUUGUUAGCUUGCCUACUAUGCUGUAAACCAAACAUGAAAAUGCCCUGCAAAAGAAAGUUUUAACAAAACUAGGUAUCACUGGUAUUUUCUUAUAUUACAAUUUUUUAAAGUUUUUUUUCCCACUAAUAUAGUUCUCAAAAGGAAACUAAUUUUGAAACUGGCUAGCUAGAAUUAAGCAACACCCAGGAUUUCUUUUAAAAAUUGAACACAGAGAAAACUAUCUGUAACAGAUUAUAUGAACUUCUCUAGUGCUAAUAUAAGCCAAACAUUCAUCAUAAUAUUCCUUGGCUGUAGUUUGAUUUUUAAAAACCGGGUCAAUUUUUUAGAACAGACAGAAAAUAGCUUUCAGUAGAGUAAUGAUUUCCAUGUAUAAUCAAUCAUUCUUACUAUUUUUCCUUCUUGAUUAGUUUCAAAGUAGUAACAAAACCAAAUCAAGAAAUUGACCAAAACCAUUUUUUAUAUAGUGUGUGGCACACAGACACAAUGCUAUUACACUUCUUUCCUCCCUGCUUAGAGUCGGUUGACCUACAUAUUAUUUAUAAAUAAUAUAACUUAUUAUUCCCAGAGAUAAGUGCAUACUAUAUGUAAAAUGUAGUGUAUUAUGUGGUUAAAUAGCCAUCAGAAGAUAACACAUUCACAGUGAGUUCCUAAUAGACAUUUAAAAUUUAAUAAAUUUAAUGUAUGGGUUUUUUAAUGGCCUGAAAAAAGUAAAUAGCAUCAUACUGUCAAUUUGUUGGUCAGUAAUACAGAAACUCAGGAGCUGUUUUGGCCUGGAUAAAUUUGAGGAUGACUUCAAUCUGAAGAUGAAUCCAGUGAAUUCUAAUGUAAUUUUGUUUUGAAAAGUACUUCGGCACCUACCAACCAUCAGUUCCAUUUUCUUAUCAAGGAUAAGGCAUUAAUUAAUAGCAGUUUUGAAAGCAAUUUGCAGGAAGAAGCUAAGCUAAAUUACCGUUGCUUACCUCUUUGUCAUUGCAUAUUUCACGAUAAAAGUUUAACUUGUCAUCCCUGA
Molecule: RNA transcript, 3967 nt
Organism: Erinaceus europaeus (western European hedgehog)
Lineage: Eukaryota; Metazoa; Chordata; Mammalia; Eulipotyphla; Erinaceidae
Gene: ORC4
Gene name: origin recognition complex subunit 4
Exons: 15
Source: RefSeq, a predicted model, not a curated record